AUUUUAUAAUUUAUUUUAUAUAUAUAUUCAAUUUAAUCUUUUUAACUUAUUGUUCGUUGACCAGCUCAUGAGCCAGCUCGUGUUUGGCUCGUUUAUUAACGAGCCGAACACGAGCUAAAUUUUUCGGCUCGAUACUUUAAAGAGCCAGCUCAUGUUCGGCUCGUUAUUAAAUGAGCCAGCUCAUGUUCGGCUCGUUAUUAAACGAGCCGAACACGAUGUUGGCCCUAAGCUCGCUCGUGUUCGGCUCGUUUACAUCCCUAGUGGUAUAUAUUUUAGAAUACACAUAAAUGUAUCAUUAUAUUUUUAAUAUUGGAAAAACUUCAAAUACCACCCAUGUGGUUUCGCACUUCUCAUUUUAGUACUCUGCGCUUUAAAGUGUAUCACUUUCGUACUUUGUGGUUUUAUUUUUCUCUUUUUGUUAUCCUCUCUACUAAUUUUUUUCGUUAAAUCAGCGGCAAAGUUAAAACUAAAAGGUACUAAAGUGAAUAUUUGAUAAAUUAAAGGUGGGGUAUCUUAAGUUUUUUGUAUAUAAUUUAACGAAAAGUUAAUGGAGGGGCUGACGAAAAGGAAAAAAAAUAAAAUUACAGGAUACUAAAUUGAUACACUUUAAAUCAUAGGGUACUAAAGUAAGAAAAUGCCAAACCACAAAGGUGAUAUUUGAAGUUUAUCCUUUUAUAUUUAUUAGUUUAAUACAGAAACUACCAAAUUAUAUUAAUAAAAUAAAAUUAUCAUAAUAUGUUUUUAGAGAAACUAAUAUUAUAAAAAUCUCACUUUACACUAUAAUUAUUUUAAGUA
This 795-nucleotide long non-coding RNA is filed under the name Ananas comosus (pineapple). RNAcentral describes it as "long non-coding RNA (ACOM_LNC023641)". The record is from RNAcentral. Lineage: Eukaryota; Viridiplantae; Streptophyta; Magnoliopsida; Poales; Bromeliaceae.